This 566-nucleotide ribosomal RNA is filed under the name Debaryomyces hansenii. RNAcentral's name for it is "partial large subunit ribosomal RNA". It matches the Rfam family "Eukaryotic large subunit ribosomal RNA", at positions 65 to 646 of the family's 3401-position model. Lineage: Eukaryota; Fungi; Ascomycota; Pichiomycetes; Serinales; Debaryomycetaceae. The record is from RNAcentral.
CCAACAGGGAUUGCCUUAGUAACGGCGAGUGAAGCGGCAAAAGCUCAAAUUUGAAAUCUGGCACCUUCGGUGUCCGAGUUGUAAUUUGAAGAAGGUAACUUUGGAGUUGGCUCUUGUCUAUGUUCCUUGGAACAGGACGUCACAGAGGGUGAGAAUCCCGUGCGAUGAGAUGCCCAAUUCUAUGUAAAGUGCUUUCGAAGAGUCGAGUUGUUUGGGAAUGCAGCUCUAAGUGGGUGGUAAAUUCCAUCUAAAGCUAAAUAUUGGCGAGAGACCGAUAGCGAACAAGUACAGUGAUGGAAAGAUGAAAAGAACUUUGAAAAGAGAGUGAAAAAGUACGUGAAAUUGUUGAAAGGGAAGGGCUUGAGAUCAGACUUGGUAUUUUGCGAUCCUUUCCUUCUUGGUUGGGUUCCUCGCAGCUUACUGGGCCAGCAUCGGUUUGGAUGGUAGGAUAAUGACUAAGGAAUGUGGCUCUACUUCGGUGGAGUGUUAUAGCCUUGGUUGAUACUGCCUGUCUAGACCGAGGACUGCGUCUUUUGACUAGGAUGUUGGCAUAAUGAUCUUAAGCC